This 497-nucleotide ribosomal RNA is filed under the name uncultured bacterium. Its description in RNAcentral is "partial 16S ribosomal RNA". It matches the Rfam family "Bacterial small subunit ribosomal RNA", at positions 28 to 507 of the family's 1533-position model. The record is from RNAcentral.
GAUGAACGCUGGCGGCGUGCCUAAUACAUGCAAGUCGAGCGAACGGACGAGAAGCUUGCUUCUCUGAUGUUAGCGGCGGACGGGUGAGUAACACGUGGAUAACCUACCUAUAAGACUGGGAUAACUUCGGGAAACCGGAGCUAAUACCGGAUAAUAUUUUGAACCGCAUGGUUCAAAAGUGAAAAACGGUCUUGCUGUCACUUAUAGAUGGAUCCGCGCUGCAUUAGCUAGUUGGUAAGGUAACGGCUUACCAAGGCAACGAUGCAUAGCCGACCUGAGAGGGUGCUCGGCCACACUGGAACUGAGACACGGUCCAGACUCCUACGGGAGGCAGCAGUAGGGAAUCUUCCGCAAUGGGCGAAAGCCUGACGGAGCAACGCCGCGUGAGUGAUGAAGGUCUUCGGAUCGUAAAACUCUGUUAUUAGGGAAGAACAUAUGUGUAAGUAACUGUGCACAUCUUGACGGUACCUAAUCAGAAAGCCACGGCUAACUACGUG